This 468-nucleotide ribosomal RNA is filed under the name uncultured bacterium. RNAcentral's name for it is "partial 16S ribosomal RNA". It matches the Rfam family "Bacterial small subunit ribosomal RNA", at positions 28 to 507 of the family's 1533-position model. The record is from RNAcentral.
GACGAACGCUGGCGGCGUGCUUAACACAUGCAAGUCGAACGGAAAGGCCCUGCUUUUGUGGGGUGCUCGAUUGGCGAACGGGUGUGUAACACGUGAGUAACCUGCCCUUGACUUUGGGAUAACUUCAGGAAACUGGGGCUAAUACCGGAUAGGAUCUCUUGCUGCAUGGUGGGGGUUGGAAAGUUUCGGCGGUUGGGGAUGGACUCGCGGCUUAUCAGCUUGUUGGUGGGGUAGUGGCUUACCAAGGCUUUGACGGGUAGCCGGCCUGAGAGGGUGACCGGCCACAUUGGGACUGAGGUACGGCCCAGACUCCUACGGGAGGCAGCAGUGGAGAAUAUUACACAAUGAGCGGAAGCCUGAUGCAGCAGCGCCGCGUGCGGGAUGACGGCCUUCGGGUUGUAAACCGCUUUCGCCUGUGACGAAGCGUGAGUGACGGUAAUGGGUAAAGAAGCACCGGCUAACUACGUG